AAAGAAAAACACAUGUGUAAGAAAAAAUGCAGUUAAGCACUUUUCAUUCUGUAAUGAUCCUUCCGUAGGUGAACCUGCGGAAGGAUCAUUA
RNAcentral lists this ribosomal RNA (91 nucleotides) under Lodderomyces parapsilosis. RNAcentral describes it as "Candida parapsilosis partial 18S ribosomal RNA". The record is from RNAcentral. Lineage: Eukaryota; Fungi; Ascomycota; Pichiomycetes; Serinales; Debaryomycetaceae.